CUGCCCAGUGAGUAAUAUUCAACGGCCGCGGUAUCCUAACCGUGCAAAGGUAGCAUAAUAACUUGCCUAUUAAUUGUAGGCUAGAAUGAACGGAAUAACGAAAUAAAAACUGUCUCAAUUAGUCAACUAAAAAUUAUUCUCUAUAUAAAGAAAAAUAGAUAAAUUCGAAGGACAAGAAGACCCUAUAGAGCUUUAUUUUAUAUGUAAGAAUAAAACUAAACAAAAUUCGGUUGGGGCGACCCGGGAAAUCUAAAACACCCCUAAAUAAAAAGAUAAAUUUAUCUAAUUAUUGACCCUUAAAAGAUCAAAAAACCAAGCUACCUUAGGGAUAACAGACUAAUCCCAUUUAAGAGUUCAUAUCAACAAUGGGGUUUGGCACCUCGAUGUUGGCUUAGGGUACCUACAUAGCGCAAAAGUUAUAUAAGGUGGUUUGUU
Molecule: ribosomal RNA, 435 nt
Filed under: Megascolides n. sp. 8 TRB-2010
Lineage: Eukaryota; Metazoa; Annelida; Clitellata; Crassiclitellata; Megascolecidae
Description: partial 16S ribosomal RNA
Rfam family: Bacterial large subunit ribosomal RNA
Source: RNAcentral